RNAcentral lists this ribosomal RNA (207 nucleotides) under uncultured bacterium. RNAcentral's name for it is "partial 16S ribosomal RNA". It matches the Rfam family "Bacterial small subunit ribosomal RNA", at positions 568 to 774 of the family's 1533-position model. The record is from RNAcentral.
CGCGUAGGCGGUUGUGUUAGUCAGAUGUGAAAUACUUCAGCUCAACUGAAGAAAUGCAUUUGAUACUGCAUAACUAGAGUACAGGAGAGGGAAAUGGAAUUCCCGGUGUAGAGGUGAAAUUCGUAGAUAUCGGGAGGAGCACCAGUGGCGAAGGCGAUUUCCUGGCCUGAUACUGACGCUGAGGCGCGAAAGCGUGGGGAGCAAACA